Lutra lutra (Eurasian river otter) is the source of this 451-nucleotide long non-coding RNA. RefSeq lists it as uncharacterized. The record is from RefSeq and is a predicted model, not a curated record. NCBI's taxonomy places the organism in Eukaryota, Metazoa, Chordata, Mammalia, Carnivora, Mustelidae. The transcript is spliced from 3 exons.
AGGCAAUCUGUGCUGUUAGAAGCCAACAUAUUGUUUACCGUUGAGAUUUCCGUCACUGUGGUUUCCUUCCUGGAUGUCAGUUGCUACGAUCGCUACAGCUCCUUCUUAACUGGACAGAACAUCUGGUCAUCAGAGGGCUGCCCUCCUGUGGCUGCCUGUGGGUCGCCCCAGGUGUACAAAACCUUUCCAGCAGGAUGCUGCUGUCACACACAUGCUCCUGUUUCUGAAGUGCCACUCGUCAUCCAUGUCCACGUUAAGAAGCAGAGAGACUCCUGAGGUCUGGGCAGUAAAAACAACCACAUAGAAGGAGAAAAACAAAGAGCAAAUGAGGUGGGGGAGAACUUAUAUAAAGAGCUCUUUUGGGGCACCUGGGUGGAUCAUGACCUCUGCCUUCGACUCAGGUCAUGAUUCCAGGGUCCUGGGAUCAAGCCCUCCAUCGGGCUCUCUGCUC